CUGACGACCGGCGCACGGGUGCGUAACGCGUAUAGAACCUACCUUUUACAGGGGAAUAGCCUUUAGAAAUGAAGAUUAAUACCUCAUAGCAUUGAGAUUUGGCAUCAAAUUUUAAUUAAAGAUUUAUCGGUAAAAGAUGGCUAUGCGUCCUAUUAGCUAGAUGGUAAGGUAACGGCUUACCAUGGCGACGAUAGGUAGGGGUCCUGAGAGGAUGAUCCCCCACACUGGUACUGAGACACGGACCAGACUCC
RNAcentral lists this ribosomal RNA (251 nucleotides) under uncultured bacterium. RNAcentral's name for it is "partial 16S ribosomal RNA". It matches the Rfam family "Bacterial small subunit ribosomal RNA", at positions 88 to 339 of the family's 1533-position model. The record is from RNAcentral.